UCGACCAGUAAGUUUCAUUUUACUUACUUGCAUUGCUUAAAAAGACGUCUGUUAAGGAAUGUUAUGUAAACCAAUUAUGAAUCCUCUGAGAACAGCUCGAGUUAUUGGGAUUCGUGUAUACCAGGACGUGCCAGCCCUACAUUAGUGUAUUUAACUGCUUGUGUUUGCUGUUCAUAUGGCCUUGAGAUAGCAGGAUUAAACCAUGUUUUCUGGACGUAACGGCUCUUGACAAUACCGGGAGUGCCAGCCCAACAUUGGUGUCUUAAAUGCUUGCAUUGUUAUUGAUAU
This 288-nucleotide long non-coding RNA is filed under the name Linum usitatissimum (flax). RNAcentral's name for it is "long non-coding RNA (LUSI_LNC000891)". Lineage: Eukaryota; Viridiplantae; Streptophyta; Magnoliopsida; Malpighiales; Linaceae. The record is from RNAcentral.